UCGAGCCAUACUCCCAUACUCCUGUCUUUCUCUUUCUCUAGUGAGGUGGGGCUUUGAGAAGUGGGGAUCCAGGACAUAUUGGUGGGGCCAUCUGCCUAGGGAAGUCUUUUUGGCAUCAUGGUAGCUUUUGGAACCUGGUGGCUGAAACAAAGAGUCAAUAUCUACAGCCAAACAAAUCGUUGCCUAAUCAUGAACACAAAGGCUAGAAUAUUGCAGAUGAAGGUUGGGGGUCUCCGUUUUGUAGAUAGCUAGUAGGCCUAUUUUAUUUAUAUUUCAGAGGGUCCAUGACUAUACUAGUUUUUUUUUUUUUUUUUCUGAGCCUGACAUCUGAUAUGCAGGUAGAUCCAAGUUAUUGUCUGGGGAGAUGAUGUCAUGGCUGGAAAAAGGACCAGAAAGCUGGAUCAGGGAAGAGAGUAGCUCCCAAAUAUGGGAAAGAUAUAUAUCAAGAGAGCUACCAGAGGAUGAACUCCAACAAGAGGAAAAAUGAACCCAAGGAAUGGGCUGGCUUAUAAGCAAUAGCGAUACUUUCCAUCUCGUGAGCUCCUCGCUUGAUGAGCACAAGAAAACCCUGUGAGCCAUGCUGAACUAGGUGACCCCACGUUGUACCUCUCGGUCCUAGCGCCACCGUGAUUAGCAGGACAGCACUUAGGGGCGCGGUGCUAAGUGCCAUGCCAAGUGGGGACGAGGCCGAACAGCGGAAGAGGAGCCGGCCGCCCCCAGCCUCCGUGGCCAGUCGCCUCCUACGGGUGGGAGCAGCCGGCAGACUUGCCCGCGCCGCCGGCAGGCGAGCCUGCGCGCCUGAACCUGCGAUCGGGCGGCCGGGGGCGCCAGCCCCUAGUGCUCCGCGCAGGCCUGGGCCGUGAGCGGGCGUUGCCCGGGAAAGCCCUCCGCCCCCGCCAGGGGGACCCGGGAAGCCCGCGCGGGCUCCUCCUGAGGACUGCGGGGAUCCCCUCCUCCGGCCCCGCCCCCAGCCUCCCCCAGCCCCCGCGCCUGGGCGCUUAACCCUACGCGCGCCGGGCCGCUGUGCGCGCUCGCUUGCUCGCUCGUUCCGGGCUGCAGCCACCUCGCCGAGGCGAUCCUGGGGCUCAAGCCCCGCAUUCUCCCCGCGCCCCACGUUCUCUCUCAGCGGCUGCGCCUGCAGUGACCGCGAGCCCGGCGGGCAGCCCAGAGGCCAAGGGGGUCAAGGGUCC
Long non-coding RNA from Erinaceus europaeus (western European hedgehog), 1190 nucleotides. RefSeq lists it as uncharacterized. Lineage: Eukaryota; Metazoa; Chordata; Mammalia; Eulipotyphla; Erinaceidae. The transcript has 4 exons. The record is from RefSeq and is a predicted model, not a curated record.